RNAcentral lists this ribosomal RNA (609 nucleotides) under bacterium 36-L049393-122-001-D05. RNAcentral's name for it is "bacterial SSU rRNA". It matches the Rfam family "Bacterial small subunit ribosomal RNA", at positions 57 to 678 of the family's 1533-position model. The record is from RNAcentral.
GCAGUCGAACGAUGAUGCCCAGCUUGCUGGGUGGAUUAGUGGCGAACGGGUGAGUAAUACGUGAGUAACCUGCCCUUGACUCUGGGAUAAGCCUGGGAAACUGGGUCUAAUACUGGAUACUACUUCUCACCGCAUGGUGGGUGGUGGAAAGGGUUUUACUGGUUUUGGAUGGGCUCACGGCCUAUCAGCUUGUUGGUGGGGUAAUGGCUCACCAAGGCGACGACGGGUAGCCGGCCUGAGAGGGUGACCGGCCACACUGGGACUGAGACACGGCCCAGACUCCUACGGGAGGCAGCAGUGGGGAAUAUUGCACAAUGGGCGGAAGCCUGAUGCAGCGACGCCGCGUGAGGGAUGACGGCCUUCGGGUUGUAAACCUCUUUCAGUAGGGAAGAAGCGAGAGUGACGGUACCUGCAGAAGAAGCGCCGGCUAACUACGUGCCAGCAGCCGCGGUAAUACGUAGGGCGCAAGCGUUGUCCGGAAUUAUUGGGCGUAAAGAGCUCGUAGGCGGUUUGUCGCGUCUGCUGUGAAAGCCCGGGGCUCAACCCCGGGUCUGCAGUGGGUACGGGCAGACUAGAGUGCAGUAGGGGAGACUGGAAUUCCUGGUGUAG